CGUAGGGUGCAAGCGUUAUCCGGAAUUAUUGGGCGUAAAGAGCUCGUAGGCGGUUUGUUCGCGUCUGCUGUGAAAACUGGAGGCUCAACCUCCAGCCUGCAGUGGGUACGGGCAGACUAGAGUGCGGUAGGGGAGAGUUGGAAUUCCUGGUGUAGCGGUGGAAUGCGCAGAUAUCAGGAGGAACACCGAUGGCGAAGGCAGAUCUCUGGCCGUAACUGACGCUGAGGAGCGAAAGCAUGGGAGCGAACAGGAUU
RNAcentral lists this ribosomal RNA (254 nucleotides) under uncultured bacterium. Its description in RNAcentral is "partial 16S ribosomal RNA". It matches the Rfam family "Bacterial small subunit ribosomal RNA", at positions 526 to 779 of the family's 1533-position model. The record is from RNAcentral.